GAUUCUCCUGUAAUAAAAUCUGCAAUGAAGCCCUCCUAUUGCAACUUCAAGGAAAAUGGUGUUUCUGUUUUUGGUAGCAAGAAGAUUAAAUGUUACUUUAAAAGAACCUGUCUUUAAACCCCAUACUUACAGUGUUGAUAUUUUUCAGACCCCAACUGUAAACUUGAAGACAAGACUGAAGAUGGAGAGGCACUAGAUUGUAAGAAGAGGCCGGAAGACGGGGAGGAGUUGGAAGACGAAGCUGUGCACAGCUGUGACAGCUGCCUCCAGGUGUUUGAAUCGCUGAGUGAUAUCACAGAACACAAGAUUAAUCAAUGUCAACUGACAGAUGGAGUGGAUGUUGAAGAUGAUCCGACUUGCUCUUGGCCAGCUUCCUCACCUUCUAGCAAGGAUCAGACUUCCCCUA
This 406-nucleotide small RNA is filed under the name Pan troglodytes (chimpanzee). Its description in RNAcentral is "retained intron". Lineage: Eukaryota; Metazoa; Chordata; Mammalia; Primates; Hominidae. The record is from RNAcentral.